RNAcentral lists this ribosomal RNA (465 nucleotides) under Vreelandella stevensii. RNAcentral's name for it is "partial 16S ribosomal RNA". It matches the Rfam family "Bacterial small subunit ribosomal RNA", at positions 338 to 795 of the family's 1533-position model. Lineage: Bacteria; Pseudomonadati; Pseudomonadota; Gammaproteobacteria; Oceanospirillales; Halomonadaceae. The record is from RNAcentral.
CCUACGGGUGGCAGCAGUGGGGAAUAUUGGACAAUGGGCGAAAGCCUGAUCCAGCCAUGCCGCGUGUGUGAAGAAGGCCUUCGGGUUGUAAAGCACUUUCAGUGGGGAAGAAAGCCUUGGGGCUAAUACCCUCGAGGAAGGACAUCACCCACAGAAGAAGCACCGGCUAACUCCGUGCCAGCAGCCGCGGUAAUACGGAGGGUGCGAGCGUUAAUCGGAAUUACUGGGCGUAAAGCGCGCGUAGGCGGUCUGAUAAGCCGGUUGUGAAAGCCCCGGGCUCAACCUGGGAACGGCAUCCGGAACUGUCAGGCUAGAGUGCAGGAGAGGAAGGUAGAAUUCCCGGUGUAGCGGUGAAAUGCGUAGAGCUCGGGAGGAAUACCAGUGGCGAAGGCGGCCUUCUGGACUGACACUGACGCUGAGGUGCGAAAGCGUGGGUAGCAAACAGGAUUAGAUACCCCGGUAGUC